Molecule: ribosomal RNA, 504 nt
Filed under: uncultured Glomus
Lineage: Eukaryota; Fungi; Glomeromycota; Glomeromycetes; Glomerales; Glomeraceae
Description: SSU rRNA
Rfam family: Eukaryotic small subunit ribosomal RNA
Source: RNAcentral
AGCAGCCGCGGUAAUUCCAGCUCCAAUAGCGUAUAUUAAAGUUGUUGCAGUUAAAAAGCUCGUAGUUGAAUUUCGGGAUCAAUUUAUCGGUCGUGCCAAUGGUAUGAACUGGUACAAUUGGUUUCUCCCUUCUGACGAAGCAUGAUGUCAUUAAUUUGGUGUCGUGGGGAAUCAGGACUGUUACUUUGAAAAAUUAGAGUGUUUAAAGCAAGCAUUAGCUUGAAUACAUUAGCAUGGAAUAAUGAAAUAGGACGUUUGAUCCUAUUUCGUUGGUUUCUAGGAUCGACGUAAUGAUUAAUAGGGAUAGUUGGGGGCAUUAGUAUUCAAUUGUCAGAGGUGAAAUUCUUGGAUUUAUUGAAGACUAACUACUGCGAAAGCAAUUUGCCAAGGAUGUUUUCAUUAAUCAAGAACGAAAGUUAGGGGAUCGAAGACGAUCAGAUACCGUCGUAGUCUUAAACCAUAAAAACUAUGCCGACUAGGGAUCGGAUGAUGUUAAUUUUAAUG